RNAcentral lists this long non-coding RNA (1914 nucleotides) under Paramuricea clavata. The record is from RNAcentral. Lineage: Eukaryota; Metazoa; Cnidaria; Anthozoa; Malacalcyonacea; Plexauridae.
GCGGAGUUGAAGGAACCUACUGGAUAAGGACAGGUAUAAUGUCUAAGAUACGAUAUAUUCUAAACGCUUUCGGUUAAAAGACGACAGGCAACUGAAUUGCAAUAGUAUAAUUUAAUAGGAAUUGCAACUACCCGAAAAAUAAGCUAAAGGAUGCUUCAGUUUUGUUUAUACUUUUCACUGGCCCACUUAUAUAUACAAUAGCGCUAAUUUUUGCUGCAAUUUGUUUCUCUCAUGCGAUUUUAUUCUUCUUGUAUAUAGAUUUUACUUGCAUGGUUUGAAUGAUUUUCGAAAAGUCUGGUAGUUGUGAAAAAUAAAGUAUGCUGUGGACGAACAGGGAACAAGUUGUAUAUUCAGUCAGCACAAUAGUCGAAACAUAAUUGAUUAAGUCUGGUUUCCAUUAUCGUCAGACUAGUGCUAGUUGGCGACCAAAUGGAAACACGAAGCUUGAUUGACUAAUAGCAAGCUUGCAUGAUUGGGAUGACAAGCUUGAUUGAAAUAUUUAACUAUAGUAAGUCAUUUACAAUGGUGAUAUAUUUUAUUCACAGGAAAGGAGGGUAUAAGAUGUCGCGCCUUGUCAUAAUUCUCAUGUUGGUGUUGGUAAUCACUUCAACAGUAACGUCUAGUUGGUCGAGGGGUCCCAGCCGUAGACAUCGCGCUAGAAAACCAGCCAAAACGGUACGCAAAAAUCAGCUAUAUAGCUAAGACCUAUGAUAUAUAUCAGCACGUUUCAAAAUACGACACUGUCUUGAAAACUGGAAAAACCUUUAAGAAGGCAUGUUAUCCCCUCUGCCUACAGUGGAAGGUUAGCACUAUUUUCCAUCCAGCAAACUGACCUGACGUCAUUUUCGCAAGAUAGAAGAGGUGUUAAAUGGCUAUGUAACUAACACAAACCCUACCCCUGGUCCCCUACUCUAACCGCUAACCCUAACUUCAACCCUAACUCUAACCCUAACCGAAUUAAUAAAAAAAUCCAAAAAUAAACGACUUUACAAAAUCGAUAGGGCGGUUUGCUGGAUGGAAAAAAGUGCUAACCACAGUGGAACCCGACCGUUCGAUAUAUUAUUAUUUAUUAUGAUUCCUAUCUGCAACGGCAGUCGUGAAUGAAAGUGUUCCUAAAAUAUUCUACCAAUUCAUCAUUCGUUUGGUAAUACACUAUAGUGCUAUAGAUAUCUUAUAUACACUAGAUAGUGCAUCUAAUUAUUCUGCAAUUCAAAAAUUGAAGCCGUGAUUGCAGACUCAGGAUAUUCCCAUUUCCCACGGAGAAGACUCGUAUGUUUUCUAUUUCUUAAACACAGAACAUAAACAUCAAGUUAAACCUAUUCCAAAAUAUUUUCAAACUAUUCAAAUGAGGAAAGUUAUUGUUGUUUUUUAAGCGUUUAUUUAAUAGCGAGUGGGAAAAUCCAACAUGGUCGCCAUCUAUUCAAAUGGGAGUAACCGCUGGAAUAUUCUUGGCUUCAAUUUUACUAAAAGAGAUGUGCUAUCUAGUGUAUAUAAGAUAUCUAAGUAUAGUGCUAAUAAUAUAUGAACAAUGUUUCUUCCCGUUUUAUUACAGUGUACUAAAAAGGUAGGACGUUUUGAAUACUGCAAACGCACAGAAAAGGGUAGAACCACCUAUUACUUGAGAUGUUGCCACGGCCAAUGCAAGCCGGCAUCCUAUGGGAGGAAAGGUAUUGUUCUCUUCAAGUGCAAGUAGCACGAGAAUAAUGGAUUAGUGAUCGCUUGAGUAUUUUGUUAUUAUAGGAGUAAAUGUGUUAAAUACGUAAAACUAGUCGAAUAUUGUACAGUAUCUAUAUAUAGUCUAUAUAUAUCAAACAGGUGAACAUUUUUGCUUUUAAAUUUCAGGCGUGUCAAUAACUAAGGUAACUUUAAGUAGUGUAACUGCAAAAUUCUGUACACAAUAAAACUUGUAUGAGC